This is a non-coding RNA of Gopherus flavomarginatus (Mexican gopher tortoise), 508 nucleotides long. The record is from the annotation of a RefSeq genome assembly. Lineage: Eukaryota; Metazoa; Chordata; Testudines; Testudinidae.
GCUCCUCUCUCUUCCUCUCCGUUGGUUUCUAAUGAAUUUCCGCAGUCGUAGUUGCCCUCACACAGACGUGAAGUUUAUGUUCCUCUGAGGCAGCGGCAGUAGCUGGGAGUUUGAAACUUGAUCGGUAUAGAUAGAAGAUACUAUGGAGACGUGUUUUAUUCUCAGCAUUUGGAUAUUCAAUCUCCUAGAUGCUGCGCGGGGAGACUCGGUCAAACCCAAGGAACCCGAAGUGUCUGGAUCAGUUGGAGGUUCUGUGACACUCAGCUGUUCUUACACCACCAGCAAUAACUACGUCUCUCUCUGUUGGUACCGACAGUACCCGAACCAAGCACCGCAGUACAUUCUCGAUAGAGGAGUGAAAUCCUACAGCGGCUGCAGCCGCACUGCGUAUUUCGCCCAGCAGAGGUUUUCUUCCCAGGCUGAGGACAGCUCCACAGUUCUGAACAUCACAGCCCUGGAGCUGGCAGACGCAGCGGUGUAUUACUGCGCCCUGGAGAGGUCACUGUGA